GAUCCCACUAACUUAUACACCAAUAUUUCUCAUCAUCACACAUCCUAGAAUUUGUCACCUCUGCUGGGUUCUUGCUUAUUUCAGGAGAAUUAUAAUUAUAACUUCUGCAGAGUUCCUGGUUAUAUUUCUAUUUUCAUGUUAUUUUAUAUGUUUAUUACCACAGAAAUAUCAACUCAAAUAAACCCAUUUUUCAUGGAGAACACUGAUUUUCCAGGAGUGGACUCAUAUAUUGUUGACAUGUUCCUGCCACAUUAAAUAACGUUACACAUGUUGGAGGUGAAGAUAAAAUUCAACAUCAUCUUUUUUCUUUAGUCACAAGCUUUGAAGAAGCUCUCAGAAAUGUGGAAGUCUAAAAAAAGCCCAAGAGAAGUAGAAGAAGCAGAGUUUCUUUUUUUUUUUUUUUUUUUUUAUUGCGCAUCAACAACAUGGAACAGGUCACUAUGCACAUUUUUUAUAUUUAAGCCCCCCAUCCCCCACAUAAUAAUUAAAGGGAAAACUCAAAGAGUAGAAAGAGGGGGGAAAGAAAAGAUUAAUUCAGGUAGACAAGUUAUGAUCCUGUGUCAAACCCGGCAAAAUUCAGGCUUCAACUCGGUGUUCCAGGUGAGGCUAAUUGGCCAUUGCCCUACUUAAGGCCACAGAUGCGGCGUGCUUGGGUUCUCUCGCUUCCCUGCCACAGCUGCUCCCGUGUUUACCCGCCUGACUGUUGAUCCGUGGCUCCCCACUUGCCUGCUGGCAGAGCUUCCUCGGCCUUGUUUGGUGUUAGGGUUUAGUGGUUUUGGGUUAGGGUUAGAAGGUCGGCUCCCUAUCCGACGGUCCCUCUUUGGGCUGGUAGAGGUGGCCGCCCUUUCUAUUGUCCCUGUUUUGUUCUCUGCCAGAUGGGAUUUUUGGUUGUUUGUGUACUAUAUUGUUGAGGGACUCUACUCCAUAAAGUUCCCCUUGAAAGUCUACCCGCUCUGUUGUUUGGUUUAUGUGCGUCCCUUUACCUUUCGGGUUACAAACAAGGUAGGGUCGUAACAGUAAGUAAAGGUGUGAAAUGGGGUGUGAGACGUUUAAACCAUUUCACCCCUUCCAUCAGGUGUCACAAUACACAAAAUGUAUGUUUUUAUUGAUUUAUUUACCUGCAGCCGUUCAUUUCAUAUUAACAUAUACAUGAGACAUGAACCUGAUUCAUCUUCUUGUUCCAGAUCAGGGCUCUUGGCUGUUUCUACCUCAGUCUCACAGUAUAACAAACACUUGCCAUAGAAUCUCCUAUUUGAUGAUCAGACCAUGUUUUCCCAUAUAGGAAUAUUUGAUCCUGAAAAUGUUCUUCCCACAUUUUCAUUACGAUCAGCACAUUAUUGAAGGCAUCGCCUGUCUGGAGAACUGUGGCCCUCUGCUUCUGGAAGGUGUCUGGCGCCUUCUAGAGGACAAUUGGUAUCGCUGUAAAGGAGAAAGGUCCCACAUGUUUGGCCCAACAAAAUUCUUCUAGUUCCACCUGACAGUUUUCAUCACAGAAAUCCAAGUUUUAAAAGCAGUUUUGCUUUUUCUCUCAAUUUCUUCGGGCAUGAGGUGUUACGAGCGGUUGUAUCAGGACCCGAAAGCAGGCAGGACACAGUGGCGUUUCGUCUUCCGAGAAGCUUUAUUUAAGUUCACAGAAAGUUAUGCAACUCAAAAGGCGUGGAGACCACGACUCAGUUCUUAAUCCAAACAGGAAAUGAAAACUUACGACAAAAAAUCCCGAGCGGGGUCAAAAGUAGUAAUGUUCCCUCUGACACGGGGCUUCGAACCACGCCCCAAAACUCGGUAGAGUUUUUUUCUGAAGCACUGCUCGGGAGCUCGCUUCAAAUCACGUGACUGAUGACGUUUGAACCACUUCACUGCUUCAUUCGGCCUGAAUCAGCUGACUGGUUCGGUUCAAUGGGCGGGUCUCAGUUGUGUUUAAAAAUGGAUGAAACAGCGCAAUACGUUGCCGAUCUGGUCAAUACCUUUUUGGAUUGAUUUGAUUAGCGUUCGUAUUGCUUUCGGUUUGCUUUCUUAUUGCUUUGCAAUGGAACCAACCAGGAAGAGAUCUCAAGUCUGGGACCACUUUGAAAUGGUGCCGCCGAACAAGGUAGGUGUUACAAACGUAUUUUUCAACUCUUAUUCACACAGUUACAAAUAAUAAACCACACACACAUCACAUUUUUAAUUUGCAGGUGAAGUGUUUGCUUUGUUCCCGACAUCUGGCGUAUAAUAAUAACACGUCAUCAAUGAUGAGGCAUUACCGAGCCAAACAUGAGAAUGAAGCUGGUGGUGCUGCUGUGAUGACGUUUCCACCAGGUGAGUGGGUGCUGUUCCAGGCAAUAUUAAGAGUAACUUUUAAACUUUACUGCGCAGGUUUGGGUGUAUAUAAUUAGUUAAUUAACUAAAUUAAUCUUGUUCUGCUAACGUCCAUAUUUUAUGUAGCAGGAAGCAGGAGUUUGAUGACGCUCUAGUGGAUUUCAUAGUGAAAGAUUCCCAGCCUUUCACUGUGGUGUCUGAUCCUGUCUUCCGUGCUCUGGUGGCUAAACUGGAUCCCACAUACACCCUUCCAUCAAGGCAGGGAGUUAAAGCCAUGGUGGAGAGGAGGUAUGUGGAAGAAAAGGAGAAGGCCAAGGCAGCCCUGCAGAAUGUUGACAGUGUCAGCUUGACCGCAGAUAUGUGGACCUCCAUCAACAUGGAUGCGUAUCUCGCUGUCAC
Long non-coding RNA from Takifugu rubripes (torafugu), 2697 nucleotides. NCBI's taxonomy places the organism in Eukaryota, Metazoa, Chordata, Actinopteri, Tetraodontiformes, Tetraodontidae. The record is from Ensembl.